AUGGAAGCACAUUCAGAUUACCGGGUUUGGAUAGAAUUACGCGUUAAGAAUUGGUUACCUCCCCUUUCAUAUGUUUUACCAUUUACCAUGAAAUGAGUUGACGAUCGAUUUUCUCGAAUAUACACUGUAUCAAGGGAGGUAACUAGAAGAUAUACAUUGUGAUUAUUUGUAGAAAGGGAGGUAAUAAAAGAAAUUUGGAAUCGCCAACAUUCAAACAUUAUUAGUGUAAUCGUUAUUGAGUGCGAUAUGGAAAUAA
This is a long non-coding RNA of Ruditapes philippinarum (Manila clam), 256 nucleotides long. RefSeq lists it as uncharacterized. The transcript has 3 exons. Lineage: Eukaryota; Metazoa; Mollusca; Bivalvia; Venerida; Veneridae. The record is from RefSeq and is a predicted model, not a curated record.